UAGAUACCCUAUUAUUUUAAAAUGUUAAAUUAUAAUUAAAUUAGUAUUAGAUAUGAUCUUGAAAAUUAAAGAAUUUGGCGGUAUUUUAGUCUUUUCAGAGGAACCUGUUCUGUAAUCGAUAGUCCACGAUUAAUUGUACUUACUUUUAAUAAUUUGUAUAUCGUCGUAGUUGGAUAUUUCAGUAGAAUUAUAAUAUUCAAAAUUAAUUAUAAUUAAUGAAAUCAGAUCAAGGUGCAGUUUAUAAGUAAGAUAGAAAUGGGUUACAAUAAAGUUAUUUACAUGGAUUAGGAAUUGCGAAAUUUUUAUGAAGGUGGAUUUGGAAGUAA
Molecule: ribosomal RNA, 326 nt
Filed under: Enochrus nigritus
Lineage: Eukaryota; Metazoa; Arthropoda; Insecta; Coleoptera; Hydrophilidae
Description: partial 12S ribosomal RNA
Source: RNAcentral